GUAGGUUAGGAAAAGGAAAUUUCACCCGUGUCUCGGCAACAUGUGAUGCCUCUAACAGUCUCUUAGAAUAGCCCGCCCAGCCAUGUCCUGUCGCUGUGGGCAGCGUUGUAAAAUGCCCCCGUUCAUGUAACUGGAGCAGAGUCACCCUUUUGUCGUCAGUGUGCCGUUAUAUUGAUUGAGUUGAAGAUGCUUGAAUUUUGUGCUGCUCAUCCGGUUUUUGCUUCAACUUUCUUACUUGUUGGAAACGAUUGUUUUGGCAAUGCUUCACGAUGUAUUGAUCGGUGCAAAGUGCACGUAUAUAUGGAGUACAAAGUGGGCCACAACCUCAACUAUACAAAGACUAGGAGGUGGGCCAUACUAUACAAUAUANNNNNNNNNNNNNNNNNNNNNNNNNNNNNNNNNNNNNNNNNNNNNNNNNNNNNNNNNNNNNNNNNNNNNNNNNNNNNNNNNNNNNNNNNNNNNNNNNNNNNNNNNNNNNNNNNNNNNNNNNNNNNNNNNNNNNNNNNNNNNNNNNNNNNNNNNNNNNNNNNNNNNNNNNNNNNNNNNNNNNNNNNNNNNNNNNNNNNNNNNNNNNNNNNNNNNNNNNNNNNNNNNNNNNNNNNNNNNNNNNNNNNNNNNNNNNNNNNNNNNNNNNNNNNNNNNNNNNNNNNNNNNNNNNNNNNNNNNNNNNNNNNNNNNNNNNNNNNNNNNNNNNNNNNNNNNNNNNNNNNNNNNNNNNNNNNNNNNNNNNNNNNNNNNNNNNNNNNNNNNNNNNNNNNNNNNNNNNNNNNNNNNNNNNNNNNNNNNNNNNUAGGCAGUCCUUUCGUCAUGACGUCGGCGAACUGCUGCGCCGUCGGGACGUGGAGGACCCGGAUGCGCCCAAGGGCCACCUGCUCACGAACGAAGUGUAUAUCGAGCUCAAUAUGCUUCGUUCGACGAUGAUGGACCGGGUUGGCGAAGAGGUAAACGGCGGAGACGUUGUCGCAGUAGACGAGCGUAGCCUUGUGAACAUCACAAAGCAACUCCUGGUGCAGCUGACGGAGCCAAAAGCAUUCAGCAACGACGUUAGCCACUGCUCGAUACUCAGCCUCGGCACUCGAGCGGGAGACGGUGGGCUGUCGCUUGGAAGACCAAGAGAUCAGGGACGGCCCAAGGUAGACACAGUACCCCGAGGUGGAGCGCCGUGUGUCCGGGCAGCCAGCCCAGUCCGCAUCAGAGUAGGCGACGAGGUCGGUGGAGGCGGAGGCCGUCAACGUAAGUCCCAAGGACUGGGUGCCGCGUAUGUAUCGAAGGAUACGCUUCACCAGAGUCCAGUGAGAGUCGCGCGGAGCAUGCAUGUGAAGACAGACCUGCUGAACGGCAUAUUGCAAGUCGGGGCGCGUCAGGGUCAGGUACUGCAGGGCGCCCACAAUGGAGCGGUAGAAGACCGCAUCAGAUGCAGGUGAACCCUCCAAAGCGGAGACCUUGGCCUUGGUGUCGACUGGCGUGGGAGCGGGCUUGCAGUUAAGCAUGCCAGCUCGGUCGAGAAGCUCAUGGGCAUAGCGCUGCUGAUGCAGGAAGAACCCAUCUGGCCGUCGAACCACCUCAAUGCCAAGGAAAUAAUGCAGAGGACCCAAGUCCUUCAGGGCAAACUCAUCACGAAGACGAGCAGUAAGCCGCUGGAGGAGCAGGACAGUGGAUGCCGUCAGAAUGAUGUCGUCGACGUACAACAGCAAGUAGGCCGUGUCAACUCCGUGAUGAUACACGAAGAGGGACGCAUCGGAGCGAGUCGAUGUAAAUCCGAGCGUCUGCAGGAAGGCGGCGAUGCGCUGGUACCAGGCUCGAGGUGCCUGCUUCAACCUGUAGAGCGAACGGGAGAGCAAGCACACAUGAUCUGGAUGCGUGGCGUCGACGAAGCCGGUGGGCUGCUCACAGAACACCUGCUCAGCCAGGUGGGCGUGCAAGAAGGCAUUGGACACAUCCAACUGAUGCACAGGCCAUGCUCGGGACACGGCUAGCUGGAGCACGGCGCGGAUCGUGCCCGGUUUAACAACCGGGGCAAAUGUGUCGGUGAAGUCCACGCCAGCGCGCUGCCGAAAACCCCGAACCACCCAGCGAGCUUUAUAGCGCUCGAGAGUGCCAUCCGGAUGAGUCUUGUGCCGAAAGACCCACUUGCCCGUGAUGAUGUUGGCACGGGGUGGACGGGGAACGAGUUGCCAGGUACGGUUCCGCUGGAGCGCAUCGAACUCUUCCUGUAUCGCAGCGAGCCAAUGAGGAUCCCGAAGGGCGGCUCGAGCGGACGAUGGGAGAGGAGACGGCUCAGAGGUGGAAGCAGCGAGAAGAUACUCAUCGCUGGGGUACCGCGUGCUCGGGCGAAGGGUGCCAGCCCGAGUGAAAGAACAUGCGGUGCCCCCAUGUUUGGUUUUGGUAAUUGAUGACAAUCUCUAUGGACUAAUGGUUGUCUUGAGUUAUAUUUGAAGGAUUUGUCCAUAGGAUUUUCUUGAAGUUCAUGUGUUGGUUUCAAGGAGUUUAUGAGUUGACCAAGGUGCUAUUAAGGAAUUAUCCAAAGAUUGGUCAUGCGAGUGUUGAGCUUAUUGCAAGCAUGUCUUGAAGAAGAAGGUUGUGUGAUCAUUCAUGUUUACCUUCAAUACAUCAUCCAAAUGAAGAGAGUUGCAAAGAUUUAAGGUUGAUCAAGACUAAGUCAAUAGUGAAUCAAGUUGAUCAACUCACAAAGCGUAGAAGAUGUACCGAGAGGGAUCAAGUGAUCCCAUGGUAUGGUAAGCAUUGUCCAUUGCACUUUGUGUACUAACCCAUGGUCUAUGUGAGAGUUCUAUGUGGGGUUAGGUACGUAUCCAUGGGCUUGCAUCAAGAGGAAGAUAUCAUACAACCCAUGGAAAGGAUGACAUCAAGUGGUGAUCGUCAUCAAGAUUGUCGUGUGCAAGUUCAAGUGGAGCAUCACGAAGAGAUCAAAUGCUUGAAUCUUGCCAUCCAUUGUGGUGUCAAUGGACUUGUGAAGAUGAGCCGAAGAGUGGCUCACCCAUAGUAGACUAUGGGGGAGCAAUCAUCUAGUCUUCAUCGAGCCAACGCAAUCAAGAAAGGUGGUCCAUCUUGAGGGAGUCAAGAUCGUCAUCAUCUAGCUCAAGUGGACCAUGUGCAAGGCAAAGGUUUGCCCUUGAUAGGUUUUCUAUUUUACCAGUCUCAUGGUGGUAGUAGGGAGACCGGGUUAUAUGAUCGUUUGCCGUACUAUCAAGGGGGGCUCUCAAGUUGGUAGCUUGAUCGUAUCGUUAAUAGAGAGCUCAAACCCUUGCAUCCUUGCAUCAUGUUUCUUGGUUCUUGUUUGGUUCUCUUUGUGAGUCUUAGAGCUUAUGGUCAUCUUGAUGACAAGCUUGAGUUCAUCGAAAACGGAGUUCACAUGCGUCUUCUAUGAUGUUUUCGGUGUUGGAGGUUUUACCGGUCUUUUCCGAGGAAGGGUUCUCACCAUUUUCCUUUGGGACUUUUAUCAUUUGCUUAUUCUUGAUAUUUCUAUCAAGAUUGUGUUAGCCCAUGUCGUUAGCUUUCCAAUAAACUUGGUUUCGUUGAAUUCGGAGUCCGUUUGCAAAAGUUGUGGCUGUUUUGGUAAAGGCUGCAGCGGUACUACCGCGACUAGAGCGGAUGUAAUUUUUUACUACCGCUCCAGAGCAGUACUACCGCGGCUCCUGAGCGGUAGUACCGCCCCAGAGCAGUACUACCGCGGCUCUUAAGCGGUAGUACCACUCCGGACCAAAAUCUCGUGUUUUGCUCAGCGGAAGUAGGCACAGAAGUAUUUUUUUUAGUACCGCUCGCAAGCAGUAGUACCGCUACCAUUUGUGGUAGUACCGUGAGGUCGAGCGGUAGUACCGUGAGGACAAGCGGUACUACCGCUCCGAAGGUUCUUUUGGCCUUUUUGCCUCCUCGCUGUUGUGUUUCGAAGGGGUACUACCGUCCUAGCGGUAGUACCGCUCCUUGGAGCGGUAGUACCGCUCUGUGCGGGCUGUGAGCAUAACGGUUGGAUUCGGGAGCUCCUAUAAAAGGGGGUCUUCUUCCCGAUUCAACUUUAUCCUUUGAGCUCAUGUUCUUUCCCCAUUGUUGACCUUCUUCGAGCUUGCUAACUCUCAAUCCCUCCAUGGAUUCUUGCUAGUUUUUGAGGGAAAAGAGAGAGGAGAUCUAGAUCCACAUUUCCACCAAUCACUUUCUCCUCUAUGUGAGGGGAACCCCUUGGAUCUAGUUCUUGGAGUUCUUGGUGUUCUCCUUGUUCUUCCUCUCAUUUUCCUCCCUAGCAUUAGUUGCUUCGGUGGGAUUUGAGAGAGAAGGACUUGGGCACUUCGUGUGCCCUUGCCAUUGCAUUUGGUGCAUCGGUUUGAGUUCUCCACGGUGAUACGUGGAAGUUACAAGUUGAGAAGCUUAUUACUCUUGGGUGCUUGGUGCCCUUGAGCUUGUUCCUCUUGGGUGCUUGGGUGCCCUAGACGGUUGGUGGUGUUCGGAGCUCAAUCAUUGUGGUGUAAAGCUCCGGGCAAGCGUCGGGGUCUCCAAUUAGGUUGUGGAGAUCGCCCCGAGCAAUUUGACGGGUACCGGUGACCGCCCCCAAGGGUUGCCAAAGUGUACGGGUUCGGUGACCGCCCCCAAGGGUCGCCAUUUGUACGGGUUCGGUGACCGCCCUCAAGGUUCCCUUAGUGGAAUCACGGCAUCUUGCAUUGUGCGAGGGCGUGAGGAGAUUACGGUGGCCCUAGUGGCUUCUUGGUUAGCAUUGUGCCUCCACACCCCUCCAAACAGAGAUUAGCAUCCGCAAGGGUGUGAACUUCGGGAUACAUCAUCGUCUCCGCGUGCCUCGGUUAUCUCUUACCCGAGCCCCUUUACUUAUGCACUUUACUUUGUGAUAGCCAUAUUGUUCUUUGUCAUAUAUCUUGCUAUCACAUAGUUGCUUAUCUUGCUUAGCAUAAGUUGUUGGUGCACAUAGGUGAGCCUAGUUGUUGUAGGUUUUGUGCUUGACAAAUUAACCACUAGGUUUAUUCCACAUUUGUUCAAGCCUAAAUCGUAAUUAUUUUAAAGCGCCUAUUCACCCCCCCUCUAGGCGACAUCCUCGAUCUUUCAAUUGGUAUCAGAGCCUCGUCUCUCUUUAUUAGGCUUUACCGCCUAGAGAGUAAAGAUGUCGACUAGGGGAUUAGGAUUCUCUGACACUCUUAGUUUCGAUGGCACAAAUUUUGAUGUUUGGGUAAUUCGCAUGCUUAAUCUCUUUAGGGUCAUGGACCCAAAUUUAGAGCGAAUUGUAGAUAUGGGUUUUUCUCCUCCAAAGGAUCCCCAAAGAUUAUCUUUAGAGGAUGAGAAAAACUCUUAUCUCAAUGCUCAAUCUUCUAAUGUGCUUUUCGAUGCUUUGAGCAAUGUAGUUAUAUUUCAACUCAUGCCGUUCCGAGAUGCUCAUGAGUUGUAGACGAAGCUUCAAGAUAAAUAUGGUGUGUCCAAGAUUUGUGGGGAUGAUUGUUCUCCCUCCACCUCCGGUCGUAUAGUCUUCUCAACUUCUUCUACUUCACCUACAUGUGGUUUUCCACAAGGUAAUGACAUGGUGAGUAGUGUUGGUCAUUGCAAUGAUGAUAGUAUGCUUAUUGUGGAUGAUCCUUCAUCACUAUAUUAUUGCAAUGCUCCUUCUUUGGGCUUUAACACUUCGAGCACUCCAAAUAUUUCACAUGCUUGUGUUGAUAGUCCUUUCAUAUCAUGUAGAAAUUGCUUGACUAAAUCUCAUGAUGAUAUGCUUGCUAUGUCUUGUUGCCAUGAUAAAAAUGCAUCUAUUUCCUUGAAUUGUUGUGCUAACAAUGUAGUGGAAAUCGAACACUCCAUGGAACAAGAUGUGGUGUUUAAUGGUGCCUCAAGGGAUCCUACAUCAUCAUCUAUUGCUUUUUGCCUUAUGGCUAAGGUGUCAAAGGUAUGUCCUACUUUGUACCCCAAUAUGUCUCUUGAUGAUGAUGUUGAUGCUAAUAAUGAUGAGGAUAAUGAUGAAGAGAAUGAUAAUGUUGCCUCCUUAAAAACUAAGGGGGAAAUGAUUUUUAAAGCUCUUCAUAAAAAUAAAAUUGCUCGUUCCAACUUCAUGGAAAUAAUGUCCAUUGCCAUUGAUGGCAAGAAAUACAUUGAGGAGUUGGAAUCUCAUCUAGAGGAGCAUGAGGCCACCAUUGAUAAAAUGGAAGGUCAUGGGCGUGAUUACGCUAAUGAGAUUGCGGACCUCUCUCAAGCUCUUGAACUUGAACAAACCACCAAGGAAUCUCUUGAGGAGACUUUUGCUCUAGAAUUGUCUAAAGUGAAGGAAUCUACUGAUAGAGCUCUUAAGGUGGCCAAUGUUUUUGAAACCAAAAAUGCUAAGCUUGAAGUUGCUCAUGCUAGACUCCUUGAGGAUUUUGAGCACCUCGAAAAUGGCUCAAGGGUCAUCAAGGGUGAGCUCAUCAAACUCACCGAGUCUCAUGCUCAACUUGAAGCUUCUUAUUUAAAAGAGCUUGCCAAAUUGCCUUCUCCUCUUGUUGUUAAUGAUGAUGCUUGUGCUACUAAUUCUAUUACUUGUGAAGCAUCCAUUUUGAAGGAGAAUGUUGAGCUACGGGCUCAACUUGAGGUGCUAUCUUGCAAUUAUGGGAAAUUGGAAGAAAGUCAUGAAAAGAUCUCAAGCUCUCAUGAUGAUCUUCUAGUAUCCCAUAGUGUGCUAAAGAUAGCUCAUGAGGCCAUGAUUGCUAAGGUAACAUCUAGUGAGCCUCAUGUGGAUACUAGCACUACUUCUAGUCAAAAUAGUAUAUUGCCAUGUGCUAGUCCUUGUAAUUCAUCUACUCACAAUGUUGGUACAUCUUGUGAUGAAUUGCUUUCCUUGCCUUGUUGCUCUAACGAUGAAGCUUAUACUUCCUCUAGUACUUGUGUUGAGACUAACCAUGUAGAGGAAAUCAAAGAGCUCAAGGCCCAAGUCACUUCUUUGAAGAAAGACUUGGAAAAGUGUCAUGAAGGGAAGGCCACACUCAACAAUAUCUUGAGUGUGCAAAAAUCCCCCAAUGACAAAGGUGGACUUGGAUUCAACUCCAACAAGAAGAAGAAGUCCAAGUUGAACAAGAAGAAGAGCCAAGAACAAGUCAAGAAUUCGGCCAAGAUUAUUUGCUUCAAGUGCAAAGUUGAAGGGCAUCAUGUUAGAUCGUGCCCAUUGAAGAAGAAGGCCAUUAGUGUCAAGCAACAAGGGAAGAGGGAACACGUUCAAUCUCAUGCUCAACAUCAAGUUGAAGAAAGGCCUCUUCCCAAGAAGACUCAAGUUAAUGCUUCUCAAAUUGAGAAAUCAAGUGAGAAGAAAGUGAAGAGUAGACGUUGCUACUUAUGUCGUGAGAAAGGUCACGUCGCUUCUUCAUGCACUAGUGGUAACUUAUCCAACCCAAUUAUUAUUGAUGAUAUCUAUUCUCUUGGUAAGGAUAAGGUUGGCAAUGUGUUUGCCAAGUUUGUUGGUACUCAAAGUGGUGUCAAGCAAAGAACCAUUUGGGUAGCCAAACCUAUUGUGACUAACCUCUUAGGACCCAACUUGGUUGGGGACCAACAAGAUCAAACUUGAUCAAUAGGUGUUGUUGGAGGGCAUUGGAGACUUGGCUACAUUAUGAAGAAUUAAGGGGACUUCAUCAUUCUCAUUGUCUCAAGCCAAGUCAAUUGGAUUAUCAAGUUUCUAUCUUAUAUCCACUGUGCCUCCUUGCGGUAACUUGUACUUAAAUUGUUUACCUUGAAAGUUACUUGCCCCCUUGCAUGUUUUGGUUUUGUUCCUUGCAUGUGUUUGUAUAUGUUGCGCUUCCAACUUGCUUAUCUUGAGCAAUCAAGUAUGUGUGUGUUGGUUUGCACAUCAUGUACGUGUGCGUCGUGCGUUGAGCCUUUUUGCUUCCUGUUUGUAUCCUAGUUGGCUCGUGUGAGAUAUCAAUGGAACAUCCCAUUUUGGGGGAGUGAUGUGCUUUGUGCACCUCACAAUCCUAUAAAUGUGUGUACAUGAGGAAUACCAUCUAGUAUUGAUAUUACAAGAUUAUCUAGUCGCUAGGUGCUAUAUCUCUCAUGAGAAAUUCAAAUUCUAAAAAUUCCAUUGAUUAUCUCGUGUUGGAUCCUCUUAUUGCCUCUUGUUUAGUUCUUAUUGGUAUCACAUUAUGGGGGAGUAAUAUGCUAAGUGCAUAUUACAAGCCUAGAAAAUAUGUACAUUUGAGAUAUUGUCACCUAGAAUUGAUAUUGUAAAUUAUCUUGUUCCUAGGUGGCAUGUUAGCUCUACAAGUUGCAAUUUUCUUGUGUGUGGUGUGAAGAUGAUGUUGGAUAUCCUUGCUAUCUACCACCGGGAAUUCUUUCCAUCUAUUUCUUGUCUUUUGACAAUCGGUAGUCACUUAUGUGUGGUAGAAUUUAAUUGAUCAUCUUUACAUUGGCUUUUGUUUAUUUACCUUUUUUCUCUUGCCAAGGUUUGUGUUAACUCCCAUUGUCUUCCAUACCACUUGUGGAUCUUGUUUAUUUCUUGUUCUUGUCUAGUGUUUUCUAGAUAUAGUGAAAGCAGUGAUCCCACCUUGUGCAUUUUGUAUUCAAAUACAAAUCCUAUAUAAUGCACAACUCGUGGGGGAGCUAUUCUAUUUUCUUCACUCUUCUUGUGAUCCUUAUCAAGUGUGUUUUGGUGGAAGGCAAGCCAUUUCUUUUUGGUACUUUGUGCCAUCAUGAAACUUUGUUGAGAGCUUGGUAUGUUUGGAACCAUUCUCUCUUUGGGAGUUUGACAUCUUUAGUUUAGUGUGUAUCAAUGGAUAUCUCAUUCCUUGAUGUAUCUUUAAUGAUAUCUUCCAAGUAAUGAUUUCUCCAUUUGGUAUCCUUUUCACUUGGCGUUUAUUUGUCUUUUGGUUUCGGGUUUUGAAAGUCUUGAGCAUGCAUGUUUACUUCAUGUAUUUCAUUUGGCAUGCUUUCUUUCUUUGACUCAAUAUAUAUGGGAAACUCCACCUAGUCUCAAUUUGGAUGAGAUGUGCAUGAAAUUCAUUUUCAUAUCUAUAUGCACAUAUUUAUGUGGAGUUUGUCCUAUGUAUUGGUGUUUCUAACUAUUUGGUCCCGAUGAGUUUGGGUACCGUUUAGUUUGUGUUGUUCUUCUAGGAACAUUUGGAGAUGCAUUGGAUGCUCGGCUCACUCACAAGGAAGGUGUUGUCACCAUGUGCAUAUUGGAGUCAAGCUAGGAUGAUCAAUGAACUACUAUCUACCUUCAAUUGGUAUCUACUACAUCCUUCCAAUGAUAUCUCGGUAACAAGUAUCUAUUCAUGCUUUCUCCUCUUGCAUUCAACCUUGUGUAGGUUGCAUCUUGGCAUGAUUUUCAUUUCAUAUCUUGUUAUACUUGUUUCCUUUCUCAAAGCAUCCCAACGAUGAUCUCUUGUUGCUAGUUGUGAUGCCCUUGAUGGAUGUGUGUUUGGACUUCAUUUAUAUACAAUAAGACCAUAUCUAGCCAAGUGCUAUGCUUUCAAGCAAAUAUCUUAUUGGUAUAUUUAUGACUUCCUUGUGGAUAUCUUGUUCCUUCGUGUUGUAACUAUUUCGGGUGUACAUUCUUCUUUGUAUAUAUAUAUAUCAUCAUGAUUUCGUCUACAUAGAACCUUAUACACUUGAGAGAAAUUACAUCUCUAGUUGAUAUCCUUUCUUUCACGUCCACCUUGUCUUUCUUAUGUUAUUUCUUUUGUGGCUCCGUGAAAGCUUUUGCCUUGAGUGCGUGUCCUCUAUCGUUGCAUCUUGAUGCACUCUUGUGUGGUGAAGAUUAUUUUCCUCAUGCUUAUCGUUACGAGGCUUUUGCCAUCUUAAUUGGCAUGCCUCGUCUUGAUGAGGCUUUCAUCUUCUAUCUUCACCACGGGUUGUCACAAGCAUAAGUUAUUUAUAUGCUUAUUAGUAAGCUUAUGAACCCAUUUGCUGGUUGUGUGUGGGAAUGACAGGCCUUGCACCGUGUGCCUCAUUCUUUCAAGACUAUGUUGAUGCUUAAUACUCAUCCUAAUUUUAGUCUUCUCAAGUGCUUCGCCAUGACUCACACACAUCAUUUUGGUUGAGCCCAUUCUUAAGUUGCCUCUUUUACUUGUUGCUCAACCAUGUGUUUGUUGCAAGUACUAGGCUUUGUUUCCUAUAUGCUCACUUGCACUUGUUGUAAGUUUCUAUUGAUUUUGGGGGAGCUAUGAUCCUAUUUUGUGCACUUUCUAUCCAAUUACAAAACCUUCUUUUUUGUGCACAAAUCAUGGGGAGCUUCUCUAGUUUCUUUAGAACACUCCUCGUCUCAUAUCAUAAUAUCCUUCAUUCAUGUGGCUCAUAGGAUCUUUGGUCUAGUUGGUUCAAUUGAUAUCCUUUGAUUGCUUGCUUCAAUUGGUAUCUUUUGAUUGCUUGAUUGCUUGUUUCUCUCUUUGUUAUGUCUUUGUGGCAUAUCAUUCUUUUGCAAUCUUUGGGCCUCAAUAUAGUUUGUGUUCCUCCAAGUAUUAACCGUUGGAUAUGUGUAUUGCAUUCCACUCUCUUGUUGAAAAAUACACAAUUUAUGGAGGACCACAAUUUAUAUUGGUCUUCUUAGCUUUUCGCCCAUUUUGGCAAUCGAUGCCAAUGGGGGAGAAGUUUCAGAGAGUUUUGCGGAGAAGUUUAGAGAGUUAUCUCCUCUUGCUUUGGUUUUGUUCCUUAGCAUUUGCAUCUCAUACGCAUGCACUAUUGGUUGUUGUAUUGCAUAGUGAAGCAUAAUUCCUUAUAUAAACUCUCUUGAAAGUGAUUUUCAUCAAUUACCAAAAUGGGGGAGAUUGAAAGAACAUGCGGUGCCCCCAUGUUUGGUUUUGGUAAUUGAUGACAAUCUCUAUGGACUAAUGGUUGUCUUGAGUUAUAUUUGAAGGAUUUGUCCAUAGGAUUUUCUUGAAGUCCAUGUGUUGGUUUCAAGGAGAUUAUGAGUUGACCAAGGUGCUAUUAAGGAAUUAUCCAAAGAUUGGUCAUGCGAGUGUUGAGCUUAUUGCAAGCAUGUCUUGAAGAAGAAUGUUGUGUGAUCAUUCAUGUUUACCUUCAAUACAUCAUCCAAAUGAAGAGAGUUGCAAAGAUUUAAGGUUGAUCAAGACUAAGUCAAUAGUGAAUCAAGUUGAUCAACUCACAAAGCGUAGAAGAUGUACCGAGAGGGAUCAAGUGAUCCCAUGGUAUGGUAAGCAUUGUCCAUUGCACUUUGUGUACUAACCCAUGGUCUAUGUGAGAGUUCUAUGUGGGGUUAGGUACGUAUCCAUGGGCUUGCAUCAAAAGGAAGAUAUCAUACAACCCAUGGAAAGGAUGACAUCAAGUGGUGAUCGUCAUCAAGAUUGCCGUGUGCAAGUUCAAGUGGAGCAUCACGAAGAGAUCAAGUGCUUGAAUCUUGCCAUCCAUUGUGGUGUCAAUGGACUUGUGAAGAUGAGCUGAAGAGUGGCUCACCCAUAGUGGACUAUGGGGGAGCAAUCAUCUAGUCUUCAUCGAGCCAACACAAUCAAGAAAGGUGGUCCAUCUUGAGGGAGUCAAGAUCGUCAUCAUCUAUCUCAAGUGGACCAUGUGCAAGGCAAAGGUUUUCCCUUGAUAUGUUUUCUAUUUUACCGGUCUCAUGGUGGUAGUAGGGAGACCGGGUUAUAUGAUCAUUUGCCGUACUAUCAAGGGGGGCUCUCAAGUUGGUAGCUUGAUUGUAUCGUUAGUAGAGAGAUCAAACCCUUGCAUCCUUGCAUCAUGUUUCUUGGUUCUUCUUUGGUUCUCUUUGUGAGUCUUAGAGCUUAUGGUCAUCUUGAUGACAAGCUUGAGUUCAUCGAAAACGGAGUUCACAUGCGUCUUCUAUGAUGUUUUCGGUGUUGGAGGUUUUACCGGUCUUUUCCGAGGAAGGGUUCUCACCAUUUUACUUUGGGACUUUUCUCAUUUGCUUAUUCUUGAUAUUUCUAUCAAGAUUGUGUUAGCCCAUGUCGUUAGCUUUCCAACAAACUUGGUUUCGUUGAAUUCGGAGUCCGUUUGCAAAAGUUGUGGCUGUUUUGGUAAAGGCUGCAGCGGUACUACCGCGACUAGAGCGGAUGUAAUUUUUUACUACCGCUCCAGAGCAGUACUACCGCGGUUCCUGAGCGGUAGUACCGCUCCAGAGCAGUACUACCGCGGCUCCUAAGCGGUAGUACCGCUCCGGACCAAAAUCUCAUGUUUUGCUCAGCGGAAGUAGGCACAGAAGUAUUUUUUUAGUACCGCUCGCAAGCAGUAGUACCGCUACCAUUUGCGGUAGUACCAUGAGGUCAAGCGGUAGUGCCGUGAGGACGAGCGGUACUACCGCUUCGAAGGUUCUUUUGGCCUUUUUGCCUCCUCGCUGUUGUGUUUCGAAGGGGUACUACCGCCCUAGCGGUAGUACCGCUCCUUGGAGCGGUAGUACCGCUCUGUGCGGGCUGUGAGCAUAACGGUUGGAUUCGGGAGCUCCUAUAAAAGGGGGUCUUCUUCCCGAUUCAACCUUAUCCUCUGAGCUCGUGUUCUUCCCCCAUUGUUGACCUUGUUCGAGCUUGCUAACUCUCAAUACCUCCAUGGAUUCUUGCUAGUUUUUGAGGGAAAAGAGAGAAGAGAUCUAGAUCCACAUUUCCACCAAUCACUUUCUCCUCUAUGUGAGGGGAACCCCUUGGAUCUAGUUCUUGGAGUUCUUGGUGUUCUCCUUCUUGUUCUUCCUCUCAUUUUCCUCCCUAGCAUUAGUUGCUUCGGUGGGAUUUGAGAGAGAAGGACUUGGGCACUCCGUGUGCCCUUGCCAUUGCAUUUGGUGCAUCGAUUUGAGUUCUCCACGGUGAUACGUGGAAGUUACAAGUUGAGAAGCUUAUUACUCUUGGGUGCAUGGUGCCCUUGAGCUUGUUCCUCUUGGGUGCUUGGGCGCCCUAGACGGUUGGUGGUGUUCGGAGCUCAGUCAUUGUGGUGUAAAGCUCCGGGCAAGCGUCGGGGUCUCCAAUUAGGUUGUGGAGAUCGCCCCGAGCAAUUUGACGGGUACCGGUGACCGUCCCCAAGGGUUGCCAAAGUGUACGGGUUCGGUGACCGCCCCCAAGGGUCGCCAUUUGUACGGGUUCGGUGGCCGCCCUCAAGGGUCCCUUAGUGGAAUCACGACAUCUUGCAUUGUGCGAGGGCGUGAGGAGAUUACGGUGGCCCUAGUGGCUUCUUGGGGAGCAUUGUGCCUCCACACCGCUCCAAACGGAGAUUAGCAUCCGCAAGGGUGUGAACUUCGGGAUACAUCAUCGUCUCCGCGUGCCUCGGUUAUCUCUUACCCGAGCCCCUUUACUUAUGCACUUUACUUUGUGAUAGCCAUAUUGUUCUUUGUCAUAUAUCUUGCUAUCACAUAGUUGCUUAUCUUGCUUAGCAUAAGUUGUUGGUGCACAUAGGUGAGCCUAGUUGUUGUAGGUUUUGUGCUUGACAAAUUAACCUUUAGGUUUAUUCCGCAUUUGUUCAAGCCUAAACCGUAAUUAUUUUAAAGCGCCUAUUCACCCCCCUCUAGGCGACAUCCUCGAUCUUUCACCGAGAGCGAGUUAUCGGGUGGGGCAGCGGGUCCGGAGGGGAGGCUGGUGAGGAUGAAGACGAGCCCGCCUCCGGUGUGGCCGCCGCGGGCGAGGCUGCCGGCGUGGCGGCGGGCGAGGCCACCGCGGGCGAGGCCGGGGACACCGGGGGCGUCGCGGGCGUCAAGGGAGGUGCGGCCCCUACGACAGCCAAUCGGGGAGAGACUCGACCCGUGGCGCGGGGGGCACCCUCAAAGCCGGGAGGCGGCCCAAGAGAGGCAUGUGGGCGGCCAUCACCGGGAGCGGGCAAGGCCGCAACAUCCGAAGGUACCUGCUGGAACGGAAAAACCAUCUCAUCAAAGUAAAUGUGUCGUGAAGUGAUCACCCGAUGAGAGAUAGGAUCAUAGCAGCGGUAGCCUUUGGUGUUAGGAGGAUAGCCGAGAAAAAUACAGGCCACAGACCGAGGUGCGAGCUUAUGAGAAGCAGUGGAAGCGAUGCUAGGGUAGCACAGGCAACCGAAGAUGUGGAGCUCAGCAUAGGAGGGUGGCGUGCCAAACAAGAGGUGAUGAGGUGCAAAAUUCCCGCGAGUGCGACAAGGACGAAUGUUAAUGAGUAGUGAUGCGGUGGCAAGCGCGUCGGACCAAAAACGUGGGGGCACGUUGGCGUGAAAGAGGAGGGUGCGAACGCAGUCAUUGAGAGUGUGAAGCAUGCGCUCAGCGCGGCCGUUUUGUUGCGAAGUGUACGGGCAAGUGAGACGAAAGAUUGUGCCGUGUGUGGCGAGAAGGUUGCGGAUCGCAAGGUUAUCGAACUCCUUCCCGUUGUCUGUUUGCAACGCAUGAAUGGGACAUCCAAACUGCGUGGAGACAUAGGAGUAGAAGGUGGUGAGAGUGGCAACAGAGUCCGACUUUCGCCGUAACGGGAAGGUCCACACAUAGUGCGAAAAAUCAUCAAGUAUGACAAGGUAAUAAAGAUGGCCCGUGUUACUUGCAACAUGAGAGGUCCAGACAUCACUAUGAAUUAACUCAAAUGGGUAUGAUGCAACAUGCGAGGAAUUGCUAAAAGGAAGAUGAACAUGUUUGCCGAGGCGACAAGCAUGACAAGUGUGAUCGUCGAUCUUAUUACACGUGAAUGAAAAACUCCGAAGAAUAUGAUGAAGGGUGGCGAUGUUGGGAUGACCGAGACGCGCGUGCCAAAGGUCCACUCUGGCGGAAAGCGCCAUGGGUGCAACAAUGAAUGAGGUAGGUGAGUGGACCGGGUAGAGCUCGUCGGGGCUGUAACAUCAGUGGAGCACCAUCCGGGUGCGGGAAUCCUUGACAGAAAAGCCAAACAUGUCAAAUUCAACGGUAACAGGAUUUUCACGUGUAAGAGAACGAAUGGAAACAAGAUUUUUAAUGAUGUCAGGAGAAACAAGCACAUUAGAAAGAUAUAAUGGCAUGGAGUUAGAAGGAAAAGCAGCAUGGCCGACAUGAGUAAUGGGCAUGGAAGAACCAUCACCCACGGUAAUGCGAGCAGCGGUGUGAACGGGAUGAGCGGCAAGAAGGUUACCAGGGUUGGCGGCCAUGUGAGCCGUGGCUCCGGUGUCCAUAUACCAAUCGCUACCGCCAGUGUACUGCUGUGGCGUGGGGGCGGUGUGGAGAGCCGCUAGGAGCGCGGGAUCCCAAGGCGCCGGCGGAAGGGCCGGGGCGGACGGCGCCGGUUGAGGCGGUGGCGCCACAAACCCAUAGCCCGAGGGGCCGUAGAGCAGCGCGGGCUGGUACACCUGAGGGGCCGCGUACAGGGCCUGAUGAGGGGCUGGGCGGGCGCCGAAGGAGCCGGGGACGGGGGCACGCGGUAUAGGCAUGGAAUACGCGUGCACAACCCCCGUCCAAGGGUUCUAGCCGGCCUGCCAGGGAGCCGGUGGUAGCUGGUGCUGCGGCUGGCGGGGCGCCCCGCCGUGGGCAGCCGGCAGCUGCGGCAGCUGCGGCUUGCGGCCACCUCGGCCGCGACGCCCGCCCUGGCGCUGCUGCUGCUCGGUGGGGGGCGGAGGGGCCUGCGGCGGCGCCGGGUAGGGAAACCCGGGCGGCGGCGCCUGGAAGGAGCCCGGGGCGGGCCGCGGCAGUGGGCGGCGCACAGCCACGGGUACCGACGGUGAGAGCCGUGUGGGUGGCCCGGGUGCGCGACAUCCGCAUCUGCCGCUCCUCCUGCUUCAGGUACGCGACGAUCUUGGGGAAGGUCGGAUUGGUGAUGAGGGGGAUGUUGGAGGCGGCGUUCCCGAAGUCGUCGUUCAGGCCGGCGAUGAGGGUGUUGAGGAGAAGCUCAUCAGAGACCUUCUCGCCGAGGUCACGGAGCUCGUCAACAAGUUUCUUGAGGCGCAUGCAAUAAUCGUCAACAGACGACUCAAGCUGUUGGCACCCAAAAAACUCGCCGUGCAAGAAGACCUUGCGUUGGAGCGCGUUGUCGAUGAAGAGGCCGUUGAGCUUGGUCCAAACGGCGUGAGCGUCAUCGUCGGCGGAGACCACCGUGUGGAAGAGGUCCUUCGAGAUGGUGGUGUAGAACCAAUGGAUGAGAGUGGCGUCGAUGGCCGUCCACUCCUCAUCGUCCUCCAUGAAGCGGGAGUCCACGGAGCCAUCUAUGUGAUCCCGGAGAUUGUACUCACGGAACACGAGGGAGAAGUACGUCUUUCAGGCGUAGUACAUGGAGGUGAGGUGGUCGAGGACGACGGGAACCCGGGCGAGGAUGUUGAGGUCGCGGAUGACGACGGGAUCGGGACCUUCGAACGGGUUGGUGCGGCGGCUGCGGGUGGUACUGGUGGAACCGGGGGAGGCCAUGGCCUAGAGGGGCGGUGUGGCGGCGCUUGGGCGGCGGCGCGGCAGGGAGGAAGGCGGCGUGGCUNNNNNNNNNNNNNNNNNNNNNNNNNNNNNNNNNNNNNNNNNNNNNNNNNNNNNNNNNNNNNNNNNNNNNNNNNNNNNNNNNNNNNNNNNNNNNNNNNNNNNNNNNNNNNNNNNNNNNNNNNNNNNNNNNNNNNNNNNNNNNNNNNNNNNNNNNNNNNNNNNNNNNNNNNNNNNNNNNNNNNNNNNNNNNNNNNNNNNNNNNNNNNNNNNNNNNNNNNNNNNNNNNNNNNNNNNNNNNNNNNNNNNNNNNNNNNNNNNNGGCGAUGAGAUCGCGGCAGCGGCGGCGGCACGGGUUUGGGUUAGGAUCGUAGGUCUGAUACCAUGUUGGAAACGAUUGUUUUGGCAAUGCUUCACGAUGUAUUGAUCGGUGCAAAGCGCACGUAUAUAUGAAGUACAAAGUGGGCCACAACCUCAACUAUACAAAGACUAAGAGGUGGGCCAUACUAUACAAUAUACUGCCUCCAUUCCAAAAUAGAUGACUCAACUUUAUACUAAAGUUAGUACAAAGUUGGGUCAUCUAUUUUAGAACGGAGGCAGUACAUGCAUAAACCAUAUAUUCAACGUUACUAAUUGUCUUGACUCUCUGAUUUUACCGUGCGGCCUUAUGGUGCCAGUGAAGGAUGGGUGGCUGUCGUCG
RNAcentral lists this long non-coding RNA (16922 nucleotides) under Triticum aestivum (bread wheat). Its description in RNAcentral is "long non-coding RNA (TAES_LNC022101)". The record is from RNAcentral. Lineage: Eukaryota; Viridiplantae; Streptophyta; Magnoliopsida; Poales; Poaceae.